This 396-nucleotide ribosomal RNA is filed under the name uncultured bacterium. Its description in RNAcentral is "bacterial SSU rRNA". It matches the Rfam family "Bacterial small subunit ribosomal RNA", at positions 8 to 403 of the family's 1533-position model. The record is from RNAcentral.
AGAGUUUGAUCCUGGCUCAGGAUGAACGCUAGCGGCAGGCCUAAUACAUGCAAGUCGAGGGGUAAGGCCCACUUCGGUGGGUACACGACCGGCGCACGGGUGCGUAACGCGUAUGCAACCUACCUCUAACAGGAAGAUAGCCCCAAGAAAUCGGGAUUAAUAUUCCAUAACAAUAAUAUGUGACAUCACAGAUUAUUUAAAGCUCCGGCGGUUAAAGAUGGGCAUGCGUAAGAUUAGUUAGUUGGUGGGGUAACGGCUCACCAAGACAGCGAUCUUUAGGGGAUCUGAGAGGAUAAUCCCCCACACUGGUACUGAGACACGGACCAGACUCCUACGGGAGGCAGCAGUAAGGAAUAUUGCGCAAUGGAGGCAACUCUGACGCAGCCAUGCCGCGUG